AUGAUAGGUUUUGAUGAGGCUAAGCAACAUGGUUCCGUGAGUCGACUAGCAGAAAAUAUGGAGGCUAAGAUCAUUGACCCUGUUACUGGAGAAACAUUAUCUCCUGGCCAAAGAGGGGAGCUUUGGAUUAGAGGAUCAACGAUCAUCUCAUAUAAUUAUUUAAGUCAAACUUGCUUACUUAUUGUCUUUGAUUACAUGUUAAUCAUCCUAAGGCUGCAUCUCCGGAAGAAAGGAAACAAAUUUUCCUAA
Vicia faba (fava bean) is the source of this 249-nucleotide non-coding RNA. Lineage: Eukaryota; Viridiplantae; Streptophyta; Magnoliopsida; Fabales; Fabaceae. The record is from the annotation of a GenBank genome assembly.